CGAGAAGGAAUGGUGAAGGAGGAGGAGGGGAUAAUACGACCAACGACAAUUCGUCGAACAAGGAGAGCGAGAACGGCUGAAAGUGAGUCAGGGAAUGAGAAUGAGCGGGUGAGCGAGCGAGAUGGAAAUAGCAGGAGAGAGAAAGAGAGAGGGAGGGUUCGCUGUCUAAGAGAGUAAUAGAGAAUGCUAGAGUGAGCGAGUAAGAGAAACGCUUAUGCUAGUAAGACCGUCUACGUGUUUCGGGCUCUGCGGGCAGAAGGAGACGCAAACAUAAGCAGUGGGGAUUGUAAGGGCCUGCAAGGAAGAGAGACGAAGAGGAAAGAGAGUAAUAAUAGUGGAGAGGAUGGAGACAGCAAGAAACCUUUCUCCCUCCUGAGAGUAGUGAAUCUUCAACGUGGCAAAUAAAGCUAGAAGAACUCGUCGGCCAAAUUACGUACCUCUGACAUUCGACUAGCGCUUCGUAUGUUUACGGAUAUUUUCGGUCGCUCGAGCGCUGAACCACAAUGGCGCGUCUCGUAUUGAGAAAGAUGUACUUAACGAGCAAAGGUGAUAUGAGAGCUCGAAGCUCGACCGACGCUCAGUGGAUUCUCAAAGAAUCAGGGACGUAGAUAGAUUAGUACAAAGUAAGAAGCGGCAAAGAGCCGCGGGCAUUAACGAAGGACAAAGUGUAUACAAAUGUAAUCAGGAUUUUCUAAGGCUGCUUCUUUUAUUCUCCCGCUUCUGCUUUUAUUCUCUCGUCGCGCAUAUCUGUAUACACAGUACGAACCUCUGUAGCUAAUAAAGGCGGACCGAUUAAGACGUCGAAAGGUUUAAAUGUAACAAAGUAACUCCAUACGCGCCAGCCAUCACGCUCUCCUAACCUCAUAGUGCUCGUGGUGCUUCUCGGCAGCGGCAAAGGGAUAUCCUGGUGCUCGUUAUCUACCGUUCAACAACUCCCUGGCCAAUCCUCGCAGCCAUGCAAACGAGUCGACAUCACGCCUGCCUCAAUGUGCGUAACGAAUUGCGUUUAUUCCCCUAUUGGGACUCUCAUAAGCAAUUCAAAGCAAACACAGAGUCUGUAAAGAUAUUUAUUUACGAUGCUACUGACAUUACUACCAGGGAAAAUAUUGAUUGUUGCCUGUACUCGUAGGUGAGUUUAUUCGAGUUUCCUUUUACUUUGGGGAUAUGAAUUUUUAUAUUUUAAAUACAGAAGCCGCGCGUAUACCCAUAAUGACUUAACCUAACCUAACGGUGUCACGCUGACAGCAAUAAAGCCUCAGGAAGUGCUUGCGUGGAAGGUGGCACAAGGUAAUGGAGACGAUGAAGGUGACGGAAGUGACGUAGCCUGUAAUAAACUGCGAGAUACGGUUGGCGCGAUAGGGAAGUCAAUCAGGACAAUCGUAUCGUAACGAUUUCGAGGACAUAAGCGAAAGUUAACUGAAUUCUAUUUGGAACGAUUUUCAUGUUACAGUGCGGAGUGUCAGCACGCGAUUGCUGUACUUAUCAAUACAACGAUAACCUACGAACGACAUUUGCCAAUGAUCUAAGGAUCUAAAGCGCUGUUUGACGUUGCGCAAGAGAGCACUAACCACUUGUCAUGAGUCAGUUCGUUUAGGAUCGUUAGGCUCUAAAUGCCCGUACGACGCCCGAGAUCCUUGGAACGUUCUCGCGUUAGCGUCAACGUUCGCGCCGCGACGCUUUUACUAUGACGCUUUGCCUCUUGUGCGUCGAGACCUCCUUCCAUCGGGGUCCUGUGCGAUUUUACCCUAUUAGUAUGAAUGAGUAUAUCGUACCAUGUAUACGUGGUAUAUCUAUAUAUGAGUAUAUAUCUUUUGGAACGUGCGAGAAUUCGAUUAGUAGGUAUUGAAAAAAGAAUUGAAGAUGAUUAUGAGCCAAGGCCGAUCUCCCUUUAGAGAGUUUUCAAUCUGGGUAAUAAAAUACAAGUGUCCCUGACCAUUUUGCUUUCGAUUAAUCAGCCAGCCUUUUUUAUUGCAGGUAAACACUGGGACUUGUCAGGGCAAACUGAGGAUUGUUCCAGAUCCUGAAAAUAUCACACUUGCAAGUACUUGGCACAGAUAGUACAAAUUAGUCUGAUAUACUCGGACUAUUCUUCAAGGUGAAUCUACGAGUGCACUUCGCGUUUGCGUGCUCGUUAUCGCUAAAUAACGAGUAUAGCCAACUAACCGACCAACCUACCUACCUACUUGCUUCCUCGUCGCUGCUAUGCCCAAUUACCUACCCAUCCUGCACUUUUAUGCUUGCCAGUGCUACGUCCUACUGUUCCAUUACAUUAUUCAUAAUAUUAUAUUAUCUGCCAUUUUCAUUAUUCUCACCGUAUACGUUUUAUAUCCCACGGUCUUGUUAUACCUUUAUUGGAUUCUCUUUUUAAUUUUUUUUUGUUAAUUAUAUUCUUCCUCAAGAUGGAGUCCAAGUUUUACAUUUUCAUCAAGGAUCAGGAGCGUUAUGGCGAAUUUGCAUGUAGGAUGAAAUUGAAUAUUUUCUAAACUCGCAUCAAGUACCCGGUAUAAAUUUUAACUGUUGAAUAUGGAUUUUCUGAGUCUGUGAGUGAUCGAUGGUCGAAGUUAACGAGAGUGAUCCUUAACUGUGAGUAAAAAGAUCUAAUCCAUAUGUAUUGAUCCAAUAGAAAUCGUCUCUGCAUACCGGACGGCUAUAAGAUGGAGAAAUCGCUGAUGAAGAUUCUGUACGAGGUCCAGCUUGUAAUCAAGUAAACGAGCGCGCAGCUACCGGUUCACAUUUCAAGAAUGCCUUGAAACGUCAAGAUUAUCUAUGAUAAAAAGAAGUGAUCAGAGCUGCACUUUCGAUUGAGAUCCCGUCUUGCUCCACCGCCCUCUGAUCAUCCUAGUCCUCCUCUUCCUCCUCCACGGGGACCAGCAGUGCCAACAACUGUCGUCGACUCAUUCACUUUGAAGAUUUAACGAGCAUCCUCAAAGUCGAUAUAACGUCCAAAGAAGAUUUCGUAAAUUUCACAAUUAUUUCAAAUGUCCUUAAUCACCUCUAUUUAUCUCGUAAUUCAAUAAUUCAUACGGUUCCUACAUUUAUAAUGUAAAUUCAAAAUUACCCACUCUAAAACCAUAGCUGAUAAUUAAACUUCUAUCUACAGAUCUACAAGCCUAUUCCGGAUGGAUAUUUCGGUAGAAUGGUCAUUACGUAUUAAGAAGGAAAAAUAAUGUCUAGGACGCCGCUGCUUAUGUCGCGUUUCGUCGUUCAUUCUGUUUUACGGGCAAAGCACGCAUCUCCAAGUACACACGCACGCACGAUUGCGUUUGAUGUACCAAGGACAAAGAGCUCGUCCUCCGGAGUCGUUUGAGUUGGCCAAGUAUCAAGUCUGCAGAGAGCACGAGGAGGAGAGGGUACAGGAAGAAGAGAUGACCGGGGAGUAAAGAAAGAAAGAGAAGAAGAAAAAAAGAGGCCAGAAGAAGAAAAGACCAUCAGGCACGUAGAUAGGAGGAGCAGAAGAACCAACACGUAAACCGUAUAGAGAGAAUAUACGGGAUACUUCUCCUGCUUGGCUAAAGAUUAUUUCUCCUGUGUGCAAUGCCCUGUCAAGGUCACACGCAUUAAUCACCCACUCGCACGCAUUGCUCUCUUCGUCGUGCACAUUGCUAUGAUACUUUCUCCCCGAGAGAGACAGACGUCCAAGGAAAAUGGAAAGAAUGCCAGUCGAUGAGAAAAGAAGAGAAAAUUAUUGAAGAGACCGUUUCACAAGCAUUUCUUUCUCGGAGUGACGUAAUGGCUGACGUCGAUUAUGACUUUACGGUCAACGUUCAUUGUAUUAGUUAUGCUCUUUUUAAAUGGACGUUCAAGACCUCACUGACUGGACCAACCGUGAUGAGUAUAUGGUGGAUGACAGGCAAUGAUGCACAGGUUGGUUUUAACGUUCAGACAUAGACUACCAAGUUUUACCAAGGUUGGCAAAAUUUGAAAAAGACUCCUGAUUAUUUUUUAAGAUCUACUUAUGCUGAUAAAGAACGGUAUAAUAAUUUUGAUAAUUA
Molecule: long non-coding RNA, 3992 nt
Organism: Cephus cinctus (wheat stem sawfly)
Lineage: Eukaryota; Metazoa; Arthropoda; Insecta; Hymenoptera; Cephidae
Exons: 5
Source: RefSeq, a predicted model, not a curated record